Molecule: ribosomal RNA, 396 nt
Filed under: uncultured bacterium
Lineage: Bacteria
Description: partial 16S ribosomal RNA
Rfam family: Bacterial small subunit ribosomal RNA
Source: RNAcentral
AUACGAAGGGUGCAAGCGUUAAUCGGAAUUACUGGGCGUAAAGCGCGCGUAGGUGGUUCGUUAAGUUGGAUGUGAAAGCCCCGGGCUCAACCUGGGAACUGCAUCCAAAACUGGCGAGCUAGAGUAUAGCAGAGGGUGGUGGAAUUUCCUGUGUAGCGGUGAAAUGCGUAGAUAUAGGAAGGAACACCAGUGGCGAAGGCGACCCCCGGGGCUAAUACUGACACUGAGGUGCGAAAGCGUGGGGAGCAAACAGGAUUAGAUUCCCUGGUAGUCCACGCCGUAAACGAUGUCGACUAGCCGUUGGGAUCCUUGAGAUCUUAGUGGCGCAGCUAACGCAUUAAGUCGACCGCCUGGGGAGUACGGCCGCAAGGUUAAAACUCAAAUGAAUUGACGGGG